RNAcentral lists this transfer RNA (69 nucleotides) under Staphylinidae sp. BMNH 1274206. RNAcentral describes it as "tRNA-Val". The record is from RNAcentral. Lineage: Eukaryota; Metazoa; Arthropoda; Insecta; Coleoptera; Staphylinidae.
CAAAUUAUAGCUUAAUUAAAGUAUUUUAUUUACGUUAAAAAGUUAAUUGUGAACAUCAGUUUAAUUUGA